UAAACGAUGAAUACUCGCUGUUUGCGAUAUACAGUAAGCGGCCAAGCGAAAGCGUUAAGUAUUCCACCUGGGGAGUACGCCGGCAACGGUGAAACUCAAAGGAAUUGACGGGGGCCCGCACAAGCGGAGGAACAUGUGGUUUAAUUCGAUGAUACGCGAGGAACCUUACCCGGGCUUGAAUUGCAACUGAAUGAUGUGGAGACAUGUCAGCCGCAAGGCAGUUGUGAAGGUGCUGCAUGGCUGUCGUCAG
This 250-nucleotide ribosomal RNA is filed under the name uncultured bacterium. RNAcentral describes it as "partial 16S ribosomal RNA". It matches the Rfam family "Bacterial small subunit ribosomal RNA", at positions 803 to 1058 of the family's 1533-position model. The record is from RNAcentral.